Molecule: small RNA, 117 nt
Filed under: Marmota monax (woodchuck)
Lineage: Eukaryota; Metazoa; Chordata; Mammalia; Rodentia; Sciuridae
Source: RNAcentral
GCCAGGCAUAGUGGCGCAAGCCUGUAAUCCCAGUAGCUUGGGAGGCUGACACAGGAGGAUCGUGAGUUCAAAGGGAAUCUCCGAGGCACUAAGCAACUCAGUGAGACCCUGUCUCUA